Pelodiscus sinensis (Chinese soft-shelled turtle) is the source of this 418-nucleotide non-coding RNA. The record is from RefSeq and is a predicted model, not a curated record. NCBI's taxonomy places the organism in Eukaryota, Metazoa, Chordata, Testudines, Trionychidae.
CCUGAGCGGCCACUGCCUGGCAGGCGGGAAGCACAAGGCAGCUCCUGGCCCCGAGGGGCAUUUGGGGAUCUGCCAGCUCUACGCCGCCAAUGCCUGCUGCUCCUCCAAGGUGGCCCAGGAGAUCUCCAGCACCCCGCUCAACAUCUACUGGAAUCGCUGUGGGAACCUCAGCCCCAGGUGUGAGCAAUACCUGCAACGAGUUGAAUGCUUCUACUGCUGCUCCCCCAGCGCCGCCCGCUGGCCCCACCCCCAGCGCCCCACAGCCGUGCUGGAGGUGCCCCUCUGCCUGAGCUUCUGUGAGAAGUGGUACACAGCCUGCCAGGAUGAUCUGACUUGUGCCCACAACUGGGUGAGCGACUGGCAGCGGGGUCCCCAGGGGAACAACUGCAGCCAGGACUGCGUGUCCUACCACCAGGUG